RNAcentral lists this long non-coding RNA (2220 nucleotides) under Rattus norvegicus (Norway rat). RNAcentral describes it as "long non-coding RNA NONRATT025298". Lineage: Eukaryota; Metazoa; Chordata; Mammalia; Rodentia; Muridae. The record is from RNAcentral.
CAGAUCAGACUGUACUGUGCAGGUGCUGCAGAGAGGCAAGUCCAUCAAAGCUUCCUCACCUUUGACAGGCUUUGUUUUUUAACAUUUUAGGACCAUUGAUCUCACACUUUUUAUUUUUUCUGAAAAUUCAUUAAAUGUGCUCUCUAAUCCAUAUGGUGUAAUUAUACAAGUAAACGACACUGUUUGUAGUCUUAUUUAAUUUGUAAGGUUUGUUUUUAGCGACUUAGCAGGUUACCUGGCCAAACUGUGUAUAGAGGGAAAUCUUGCUUUGGUCUGUGGGUGUGGACUGGUGUGACUUACAGAAGAUAAGCAGAUGUGGGGCUGUGUGCGAUAGGAUAGGUGUUCAUGGGCAGCUAAGCGCGUGCCUCUGGCUGUGACCUAUGAAGUUUCUUAAUGCUGUACUUACAAAUGUGAAGUGUGAGUAGGGUUGGUCUCGGAAAAGAUGGUAUUUAUGUAUAAUAUAAACCUUAAGCCACAGGAACUGGCAUUUUUCUUAGUGUAAAAAUUUAAUAAGAACCAAAUCACAAAAAUCCCAGAUCUCCUUUUGAGGCCGGGGACAAUCAGGCCGUUCGGACAAUCACCAUUCCAGUCCCACCGAGUGCUGAGGCUGGAGAACCACCUCUUAGGUUCUCAAGAUGCUGUUGAUCCUGUUCUUGUAUUUUUGUUUUAGUUUUGUAAUCUUGAAAAAUAACUUAAAGUUGCCAGUGGCUCAUAAGGAGAAAUCAAUUAAAACCAUUCAAAACAUAGAUCCUUAAAUUUCCAUGUACUGUCCCCCUUUUACAUUCCUCCAUUGACUCGGUUCUUUAGUGUAGUCCCUAGGCCAGCGCUAGCCUAGCAUUUCAGUAGCCUGUUGGGCUUUUAGGGCUUAUAGUGUUAAAUUUAUGUCGUCUGUACCUCUUCUAUAACUCAACCUAAUUUUUGACUUUGCUUCCUCACUGGCUGUUGUAUUUGGUUUCAGGUUUUGUGUUAACAUUUGCCAUCCAUUGUUGUGUUUUCUUUCAUUGUUUGUUGACAGUGAUAGCAAUGGGUAUAACUCUCGUACAUUUAAAUGAAGCUGAUGCUACAGAAUGUAAUGCGAGCCAGUGAACGCCACUUGGCGCCAACCGGUGGAAGCUGGCCUCAGGCGCAUUCUCUGGAGUUGAAGGAUCAACACUCCCUGUGUCUACAACAAGGAGAUACGUCUUCAUCAUACUGAACUUGGCCUUUUAAGGGAAAAAUGCUUUUCAUGAAAUUUGCAUAAUACCAUUGUUUUGCAGUGAUAAGGCAUUUGCAUGUUUCUGAGGGCUGAGUUAAGCUCUUUGGAGUGAAGACUAUCAGUGCCGCAGUGAUGGGUGCUAUCCCCGGGUCUGCAGUGGUCACAAAGUCUACCGUGUAGUUACUUUCAAGCCUCAUUCAGAUAAUCUUGCUAAGAGCUGGUCUGCACUCCCCACAGGUGUUUUACUGUCCUCUCUCAACACUGCUUUGAGCCGUGCUCUGUAAAGUGUAAGUUCUUUGUCCCAUCAGUUUACUAGCUGUCAUGUGGUUAUUGUCUGGGCAAGUCUUUUGAUUUUGUUUUCCUUACAAAGUAUGUCCAUGACUGUAUCAAUCUUCUGUAUUCAGAACAUUAUAAUGCUGCGGCCAUUUUUAUAGAACGACUGCAAGUUUGUGUCCUGGAAAUAUCUUCUACUCGUGUGUGUAUGUGAGCUCUGAGACCAGAUCUGUUCUGGAAGAGUCCUCAGGUAUGCCUGCACAUGACUGUCUGGGUAUCUGGGUAGACGCUAGGGAAUUGUGCUUUUAGAUGAGGCAGUUGGAAAACCUGAGCUCCCCUUGCUGUCCGUGUAUGUGCCACAUCUGGCCUCCACCACUGCGUUUCUUGUGGUUGUGCUGUUAAUGGUAAAGUCAAGUGCCUUCAAUGCUAAAGGCUCAGAAAUCUUUCUUAAACUGAUUUCAUGUCCUAUGCAAGUGUUUUUACAACCUGCAUAACCAGUACUUUGUAAAACUUGUUUACGCUUCAAUUGUACAUAGUGUUUUUUAAAGAAAUAUAUAGUAUUUUUAUUUAGGUACCUCCAAACUUGAAUCCGUCUGUGUGAAACACUGUAAACGACACGUUUCUCUUUUGCGUACCAUCACAGUUGUACAGAGGUUUUCACUGGUUCUAUUUUUCUACUGUUACUGAUACGCAUGUAACACUGACUUUAUCCUCCAUAUAGUUGGCAUUUCAAAUAAAUGGCUUGUAUAGAA